Molecule: long non-coding RNA, 782 nt
Organism: Xenia sp. Carnegie-2017
Lineage: Eukaryota; Metazoa; Cnidaria; Anthozoa; Malacalcyonacea; Xeniidae
Exons: 2
Source: RefSeq, a predicted model, not a curated record
UAGAAGUCAACCUAUGUUUCAAGUGAACAUUUGUGACUAUACAAGGUAAUAGAGAGGACAGUUCAGCUCACAAACAUCACAGAGGACAUCGUAAGAUUCUGUGCCUCAAGGAAAUUAUUUUUCCAAGGAAGAGAAAUUUUCUACAUAGAGUUAAUAUACGACUAAAAGGAGUUCGUCGGCGCUUGUAAAUGAGAAAAAAUCCUUUCAGAUUCAUCAGAACAAAAGUUUAUAGAACAGUUUUCUGGAGAAACGACUAUCUUUUGGCUGAAAUGCGUGUUAAAAUAGAAUUCGCUGUAUUAGCAGUAAUAAUUGGAUUUUUUGUGGGUUUAAUCAAAGGCCUAUUGAUAGCAGUGGUAGCUGGAAUAUUUAUUGGUGUAAGUAUCGGUCUAUUGAUUGGCAUAAAGAUUGCCUUCAUGAUCACAAAUCAGUUUGGUGAAAGCUACGAUGAUCAGUUUUAUUGGCUGCAGCAGCUUGACGAAUCAGACAACACAGCAGCAAUGCCUCUAUGAAAAAUUUUUGUUCCUAGAACAUGCCCUGAUCACGUGGGGGGAUUGGUCAAAAUAAAAUCUUGAAUCUUGAAAUUCAAAAAAAGAGUUCUAAAGUCACAAGACUGAAAAACUGAGCAAAAACGUUGGUUUGUACGCACGUAUUGGUAAUGACUCAUCAUAUACCUUAAAUGUUUGCAAUGUAUUUUUUUUUGCAUAUAAUUCAAUCAAGACAUUCGAAUAUUACCUAAUGAAUCGAUGUAUGGCGAACUCAAUACAUUUAAUAUUACAAUACAA